This 1443-nucleotide long non-coding RNA is filed under the name Homo sapiens (human). Its description in RNAcentral is "PTCHD1 and PHEX antisense RNA". The record is from RNAcentral. Lineage: Eukaryota; Metazoa; Chordata; Mammalia; Primates; Hominidae.
GAGAGAAGAUGUCAAAUCUGAAAAGCACUUAAAAGUAUGAAACAUCGAGAAGAACUAGAAGAUGGCCAAAUAGGAACAGCACUGGACUGCAGCUCCCAGCGAAAUCAAUGCCAAAUCAAUGCAGAAAGGAGCAAACUCAAGUCCUGCAUCUCAUCCCUGAUGCCCCUUCCUCAGUCUACUCACAUGAGCAUAACUCAGGAAGAAGAGCUGGUUGUUGGUGAAUGUGAUGCCUGGUAGAAGAGGCUCCUCAAGUCCCUGCCUUCUGUCAUUUAUCCAUUUCCUGUAAGCCUGGUGAGAGAAGAAGAAGAGAUGAGUCUCUGCAACGGUCCUCUCAUUUAUUGAUUGCUGUACUAAGUAUUUGAAACUGACACUAGCAGCAGGGAUAUUCAGCCCAGGCCUGGGAGCAUGACCGAAGUCGGGCAGAAACUGCCAUUCCUAACAGUGGCCACACGAGGGCGGCUCUAAGAAGAUGUGCCAGCUGGUAGUGAGCAGCCACAGCCUUCCGGCUGUCCUCUGACCAGAGUCCUGUAGGAACAACGGCCAGUAUGGAGGACCCACGGCAGACUGGCCAACUGGCCAGAGGGAAGGCAGGAUGCCUCCCUAAGGAGGUGGCCUGGCCUUUGAAUAAAGAUUUGAAGGAAAUGGGAGCAUAAACCAGGCAGGUCACUUGGGGAAGUUUUCCAAGAGAAAGCCAACCCCAGGUAUAAAUGCUCCCAGAGCAGAGCGUGUCAGGUGUGCUCUAUAAACACGAAGGAGGCCAGUGUGGCCGGAACAGAAGGAGGGAGGAAGGGGGAGAGUAGCAGGAGGUACAGGCAGAAAGAUAACAGACCUUAAGGCCAUUAUAAAUAAUUUGGCUCUUUCUCUGAGUGAGAUGGGAUGCUGAUAAAAGCUUUUGAGCAAAGAAGUGACACGAUGUGAUUGUAAAACGUCUUAAAAUCGCUACAAUAUUAUAUUUAGAAUAGACUGAAGGGGGGUAAGAACAAAAGCAGGGAGGCCAAUGAGGAGGCUAUUACCAUAAUCCAGGUGGGAGAUAGUAGUGGUAUGAACAAGGGUGAUAAAUUCCAUCCCCUGCAUUCAACACUGUAGAAAUGUGAUUAAAACCAUGAGAUUAGAUGUUAUCACCAAGCAAGUGAGCAAAGAUGGAGAGAAGAGAACAGAAAAGGUGCAGACUGAGCCUUGGGGCAUGCCAUCAUUAAGAGAUAUGGGAGAUGAGGAGAAACCAGCAAGGAUUUGAGCAACAGUGGCCCACCCUCCCCAAGACAAGCCACCACCAACCGGAAUUUGGUGUUUGUCAUUCUCAUGAAUGUCUUUACACUUACACUACAAAUGGAUGGACCUCCAAACCAUGUGUAGAAUUGUUCUGCAUGAUUUUCAACUUUAUUUAUAUAGUAUCAUACUUGAUAUAUUUUCCCAAGUUGUUUUACUUGUGAAAUUCAUCCAUGU